UCCCUUGUGGUCUAGUGGUUAGGAUUCAGCAUUCUCACUGCUGGGACCUGGGUUCAAUCCCUGGUCUGGGAG
RNAcentral lists this transfer RNA (72 nucleotides) under Sus scrofa (pig). It matches the Rfam family "tRNA". Rfam says of the family: Transfer RNA (tRNA) molecules are approximately 80 nucleotides in length. Their secondary structure includes four short double-helical elements and three loops (D, anti-codon, and T loops). Further hydrogen bonds mediate the characteristic L-shaped molecular structure. tRNAs have two regions of fundamental functional importance: the anti-codon, which is responsible for specific mRNA codon recognition, and the 3' end, to which the tRNAs corresponding amino acid is attached (by aminoacyl-tRNA synthetases). tRNAs cope with the degeneracy of the genetic code in two manners: having more than one tRNA (with a specific anti-codon) for a particular amino acid; and 'wobble' base-pairing, i.e. permitting non-standard base-pairing at the 3rd anti-codon position. The record is from Rfam by way of RNAcentral. Lineage: Eukaryota; Metazoa; Chordata; Mammalia; Artiodactyla; Suidae.